CGGGGAGUUGCACGUAAACUUUGAUCCGAAGAUUUCCGAAUGAGGAAACUCACUUAGAGUAAUGUCUAAGUAUCAUUAAGUAAAUACAUAGCUUAAUGAGGGAAACUCAGGGAACUGAAACAUCUAAGUACCUGAAGGAAGAGAAAGAAAUUCGAUUCCGUAAGUAGCGGCGAGCGAACGCGGAUUAGCCCAAACCAAUAAAGUU
Molecule: ribosomal RNA, 205 nt
Filed under: Clostridioides difficile
Lineage: Bacteria; Bacillati; Bacillota; Clostridia; Peptostreptococcales; Peptostreptococcaceae
Description: partial 23S ribosomal RNA
Rfam family: Bacterial large subunit ribosomal RNA
Source: RNAcentral